This 62-nucleotide transfer RNA is filed under the name Ictidomys tridecemlineatus (thirteen-lined ground squirrel). RNAcentral describes it as "Spermophilus tridecemlineatus (thirteen-lined ground squirrel) tRNA". It matches the Rfam family "tRNA". Rfam says of the family: Transfer RNA (tRNA) molecules are approximately 80 nucleotides in length. Their secondary structure includes four short double-helical elements and three loops (D, anti-codon, and T loops). Further hydrogen bonds mediate the characteristic L-shaped molecular structure. tRNAs have two regions of fundamental functional importance: the anti-codon, which is responsible for specific mRNA codon recognition, and the 3' end, to which the tRNAs corresponding amino acid is attached (by aminoacyl-tRNA synthetases). tRNAs cope with the degeneracy of the genetic code in two manners: having more than one tRNA (with a specific anti-codon) for a particular amino acid; and 'wobble' base-pairing, i.e. permitting non-standard base-pairing at the 3rd anti-codon position. Lineage: Eukaryota; Metazoa; Chordata; Mammalia; Rodentia; Sciuridae. The record is from Rfam by way of RNAcentral.
GGGAGUGUAGCUCAAUGGUAGAGCACAUGCUUAGCAUGUGGAGACUCUGAGUUCCACACCCA